This 75-nucleotide small RNA is filed under the name Xanthomonas campestris. Its description in RNAcentral is "sX9 sRNA". It matches the Rfam family "Xanthomonas sRNA sX9". Lineage: Bacteria; Pseudomonadati; Pseudomonadota; Gammaproteobacteria; Lysobacterales; Lysobacteraceae. The record is from RNAcentral.
CUGUCCCCACGUACGUUUGAGUUCCUCCGCGCCGUUCGCAGCCACCUGACAACUGCCCGCUACGUUUUGUUGGCC